This 2535-nucleotide ribosomal RNA is filed under the name Stenotrophomonas maltophilia. RNAcentral's name for it is "bacterial LSU rRNA". It matches the Rfam family "Bacterial large subunit ribosomal RNA", at positions 400 to 2925 of the family's 2925-position model. The record is from RNAcentral. Lineage: Bacteria; Pseudomonadati; Pseudomonadota; Gammaproteobacteria; Lysobacterales; Lysobacteraceae.
CAGUGAAGACGAGUAGGGCGGGGCACGUGAAACCCUGUCUGAACAUGGGGGGACCAUCCUCCAAGGCUAAAUACUACUGACCGACCGAUAGUGAACCAGUACCGUGAGGGAAAGGCGAAAAGAACCCCGGAGAGGGGAGUGAAAUAGAACCUGAAACCGUGUGCGUACAAGCAGUAGGAGCUCCGCAAGGAGUGACUGCGUACCUUUUGUAUAAUGGGUCAGCGACUUACUGUUCGUGGCAAGCUUAACCGUAUAGGGGAGGCGAAGGGAAACCGAGUCUGAUAAGGGCGCAUAGUCGCGGGCAGUAGACCCGAAACCGGGUGAUCUAGUCAUGCCCAGGGUGAAGGUGCGGUAACACGCACUGGAGGCCCGAACCCACUCCCGUUGCAAAGGUAGGGGAUGAGGUGUGAUUAGGAGUGAAAAGCUAAUCGAACCCGGAGAUAGCUGGUUCUCCUCGAAAGCUAUUUAGGUAGCGCCUCAUAUGUAUCCUCUCGGGGGUAGAGCACUGUUAUGGCUAGGGGGUCAUCGCGACUUACCAAACCAUUGCAAACUCCGAAUACCGAGACGGACUGUAUGGGAGACACACGGCGGGUGCUAACGUCCGUCGUGAAAAGGGAAACAACCCAGACCCACAGCUAAGGUCCCAAAUUUUGUGCUAAGUGGAAAACCAUGUGGAAAGGCACAGACAGCCAGGAGGUUGGCUUAGAAGCAGCCACCCUUUAAAGAAAGCGUAAUAGCUCACUGGUCGAGUCGGUCUGCGGGGAAGAUUUAACGGGGCUAAGCACAGAACCGAAGCUUGGGGUGCAUAACUUUGUUAUGCGCGGUAGAGGAGCGUUCCGUAAGCCGUUGAAGGUGGAUUGAGAAGUCUGCUGGAGGUAUCGGAAGUGCGAAUGCUGACAUGAGUAACGAUAAUGCGGGUGAAAAACCCGCACGCCGAAAGCCCAAGGUUUCCUUGCGCAACGUUAAUCGGCGCAGGGUGAGUCGGCCCCUAAGGCGAGGACGAAAGUCGUAGUCGAUGGGAAGCAGGUUAAUAUUCCUGCACCUCGCGUAAGUGCGAUGGAGGGACGGAGAAGGUUAGGUGUACCAGGCGUUGGUUGUCCUGGGGAAAGGCGGUAGGUUUGGAUCUUUGGCAAAUCCGGGAUCCUUUAAGACCGAGCACCGAGACGAGCCUUUAUGGCGAAGUCACUGAUACCACGCUUCCAGGAAAAGCUCCUAAGCUUCAGCUUACGCAGACCGUACCGUAAACCGACACAGGUGGGUAGGAUGAGAAUUCUCAGGCGCUUGAGAGAACUCGGGUGAAGGAACUAGGCAACAUGGCACCGUAACUUCGGGAGAAGGUGCACCCUUUUUGGUGGCUCGUGCGAGCUAUAGCUGAAGAGGGUCGCAGUAACCAGGCCGCUGCGACUGUUUAUCAAAAACACAGCACUCUGCAAACACGAAAGUGGACGUAUAGGGUGUGACGCCUGCCCGGUGCUGGAAGGUUAAUUGAUGGGGUCAGCCGCAAGGCGAAGCUCUUGAUCGAAGCCCCAGUAAACGGCGGCCGUAACUAUAACGGUCCUAAGGUAGCGAAAUUCCUUGUCGGGUAAGUUCCGACCUGCACGAAUGGCGUAACGACAGCGGCGCUGUCUCCACCCGAGACUCAGUGAAAUUGAAAUCGCUGUGAAGAUGCAGCGUUCCCGUGGCAAGACGGAAAGACCCCGUGAACCUUUACUAUAGCUUUACACUGAACGUUGAGUUCGUCUGUGUAGGAUAGGUGGGAGGCUAUGAAACCAUGGCGCUAGCUGUGGCGGAGCCAUCCUUGAAAUACCACCCUGUCGUGCUUGACGUUCUAACCUGGGCCCAUUAUCUGGGUCGGGGACCGUGUAUGGUGGGUAGUUUGACUGGGGCGGUCUCCUCCUAAAGAGUAACGGAGGAGCUCGAAGGUACGCUCAGCGCGGUCGGACAUCGCGCACUGUGUGCAAAGGCAUAAGCGUGCUUGACUGCAAGAUCGACGGAUCAAGCAGGUAGGAAACUAGGACUUAGUGAUCCGGUGGUUCUGUAUGGAAGGGCCAUCGCUCAACGGAUAAAAGGUACUCCGGGGAUAACAGGCUGAUACCGCCCAAGAGUUCAUAUCGACGGCGGUGUUUGGCACCUCGAUGUCGGCUCAUCACAUCCUGGGGCUGUAGUCGGUCCCAAGGGUAUGGCUGUUCGCCAUUUAAAGUGGUACGCGAGCUGGGUUCAGAACGUCGUGAGACAGUUCGGUCCCUAUCUGCCAUGGGCGUUGGAGAUUUGAGAGGGGCUGCUCCUAGUACGAGAGGACCGGAGUGGACGAACCUCUGGUGUUCCGGUUGUCACGCCAGUGGCAUUGCCGGGUAGCUAUGUUCGGAAGCGAUAACCGCUGAAAGCAUCUAAGCGGGAAGCGCGCCUCAAGAUGAGAUCUCCCGGGGCACAAGCCCCCUGAAGGAACCAUGUAGACUACGUGGUUGAUAGGUCAGGUGUGUAAGUACAGCAAUGUAUUGAGCUAACUGAUACUAAUGAUCCGUGCGGCUUGACCAU